AAACUAUAUUUUUCUUGUUUGUGAUAUAAGCGAAAUUUCUCAGGGUAUGUGAAUAGAGCCUCACACUCCCGCAUGACCAAUAGUUCACCGUAAGAAAUAUCGACCUCAUUAGUUGAUUCUGUGUUGAAAAGCUGAAGUUGCUGAAGUGCGCCUGAGAUUGAUUCUUCGCACAUAUCCAUUGUCUUAGCGGGUCCAGCAUGACUCAAGGUGCUGAUAAUUUGAGCAUAAACAUUAUCUAUAGUUUCCUUCGCGGCAAUAAAUUUAUUAAAGUUUGUUUCCAUCAACGAUAAUAACUGAUGAGUUCCAUCGGUGGUUAACCACGAAGAUGAUCGAUGAACUCCCGUACUCGUCUGUUGCAUAGAGUUAUCAGGAGCAUCGCGAUAUGUCCCAGCGAUUUUACGUGUAGCCAUCGGGUUUCUCAUACCUCCAAUAGCUAUUUGAGAUGACAUAGAUGGUUGGACGCUCGUUUGACUACGUUUCAUUGCAAAUGAUGGUGUUACUGGUCCAGCUGCACUAGCAUCUUUGGUAGUUUCGGAUGUAGCGCUAAAAUCGUUAGAGAAAAAUAAAUUCACCAGUUUCUUUGUAAUUAUUUCUAAACAAAAUACUUACCCACCCGUACGAAGUAUGUCUUCUGAACGAUUACGUUCAUGAUGAACACCGGUAGUAGGACUUUGUACAUCUACUGAGGCAUUGGCAAUCGCAAAGUCCGGCUUCUCAGUCCAGUAGUCUUGACUUAAACUUGUCAAACCAUAAUGAGCAAGGAUCUCUUCGUCUGCACUCAUUUUCUGAAAAGAGACCCUUCACCUGUUGUAUUAUGGUAGUUGGCAGAGAACGCAAUGCCACAGUAAUUGGAAUUCAUCAAAGCGAUCGAUUUUUUAAUCCCUUUGGUCCAUAGAUCAUUCUUUUAUACUUUUAAAAUUUCCAAUUAAGCUUAAAUUGCAUGUUCCUAAAUUGAAUCAAGUAGAACAAGUAUUUUUCGAAUUUGUAAAUAUGUACGCAUUUAAGAGAUUCACUAAGUUUGCAAAUCCAAAAAAAAUUCUUAACCGAUUACUGAAGCAUAUGUAUUUGAUAAAUUUGUGGAAUCUGUUAGUUCUGUAAUACUUCUGAGUUGAGCUUUUCAUAAACAAAU
Schizosaccharomyces pombe (fission yeast) is the source of this 1129-nucleotide non-coding RNA. The record is from the annotation of a GenBank genome assembly. Lineage: Eukaryota; Fungi; Ascomycota; Schizosaccharomycetes; Schizosaccharomycetales; Schizosaccharomycetaceae.